Molecule: unclassified non-coding RNA, 1245 nt
Filed under: Hevea brasiliensis (rubber tree)
Lineage: Eukaryota; Viridiplantae; Streptophyta; Magnoliopsida; Malpighiales; Euphorbiaceae
Source: RNAcentral
GGAUCGCAGUCUCCGUCCCCUGAACUUUGAAGGUGUAGCGUGUGUGUGAUAUUUGAAACUCUAUGAAGAAUUAUUUCUUUCGUAAUGAUAUUUGAUUUCCUGGCUUUCAUGUUCUUUCUCCCAGUUUUUCUCUGAGGUUUUCCAGGGAAAUCUUCUUCGGAGCUGUUUGGUGAGCAAGAAAAUUCCUUCUCUAUUACUGGAAACUUUUCCCAGCUCGCUACAGCUGAAUAUGUCUCUUUAUAUUGAGCUUAGAAAUUUUACAUUCAUUGUUAGAUUUGCCUUGAUUAUUAGAAGCUUGUUUUUAAAGCUUAACUCUCCGCUAUACUGCCGAGAAACACCGUGCCAAUGCCUGCACUAGAGUGAGUCGAGUUGUAGUUUUAGCUUACAUUGGGUAAUGUAUAUAUAUUGUUUCGCUUUACCCCUGCUAUAUCAAAUGUAAUUUGUUGACGUUGAAUCCUACUCGUCUAAUUUUAUCUGGUUUUGCUGGAUACUGUUAUUAUAGGUUGUAGCUACAUUCGCAUCCAAACGGGGUAGAAUGUGGGCAUGGGAGAUUCUUACAAGUCUUGAUUCUUGGAGAAUGAAAGCCAGAGUGCCUAUCCUUAAAAUUUAUGAUUGUUUCAAUCUGAUUUUCUCAAUUGUCACCCACCCACGCUAGCUUCAUGUCUGUGCUUAUUUAACUUGUUCUUUUCAGCAUGGACUGUAGCACAUAGCCUGUAAAAUGUAAUGUCUAAAUAUUGAAAUUGAUUUAUUUCUCGUUUACCUAAAGUUUGGUUGAUUUUAGUGUUAUUUUCUUUCAGAAGUAGUCUGCUACAUAUUUGUGAUGGUAUACACCCUAUUUUGAUUGGGUAAUUAUGCAUUUGAAGUAAUGGAAUUAGUCUUUUUACGAUUAGUUUUGAUUGAUUUCAAUAUUAUUUUCUGUCAGAAGUAGGUUGCUGUGAUGUUAUACACCCAAUUUGAUUGGGAAAUUAGGUGCUUUGAAGCAAUGAAAUUUGUCCUUUACCUUUAGUUUUGCAUGAUUUCAGUGUUAUUUUCUUUCUGAAGUAUUCUGCCACACAUUUAUGAUGGUACACACACAAUUUUGACCUGCUAAAGUAAGCAUUUCAAAUAAUGGAAUUUUGUAAGCUUUUAGUUUUAAUUUUUUUUAUUGUGAUUUUUUUAAUAGUUGCAAAUUUGCACUCAUUAAGAUUCAUUUAAUGCACCCCACUAAUAUGUGAAACUAUAAUUUUAAUAACAAAAAGGAGAACU